GACGAACGCUGGCGGCGUGCUUAACACAUGCAAGUCGAACGGAAAGGCCCUGCUUUUGUGGGGUGCUCGAGUGGCAAAGGGGAGAGUAACACGUGAGUAACCUGCCCUAGACUUUGGGAUAACUUCAGGAAACUGGGGCUAAUACCGGAUAGGAGCUCCUGCUGCAUGGUGGGGGUUGGAAAGUUUCGGCGGUUGGGGAUGGACUCGCGGCUUAUCAGCUUGUUGGUGGGGUAGUGGCUUACCAAGGCUUUGACGGGUAGCCGGCCUGAGAGGGUGACCGGCCACAUUGGGACUGAGAGACGGCCCAGACUCCUACGGGAGGCAGCGGUGGGGAAUAUUGCACAGUGGGCGGCAUCCUGAUGCAGCAACGCCGCGUGCGGGAUGACGGCCUUCGUGUUGUAAACCGCUUUCGCCUGUGACGAAGCGUGAGUGACGGUAAUGGGUGAAGAAGCACCGGCUAACUACGUG
This 468-nucleotide ribosomal RNA is filed under the name uncultured bacterium. RNAcentral's name for it is "partial 16S ribosomal RNA". It matches the Rfam family "Bacterial small subunit ribosomal RNA", at positions 28 to 507 of the family's 1533-position model. The record is from RNAcentral.